UACGUAGGGUGCAAGCGUUGUCCGGAAUUAUUGGGCGUAAAGAGCUCGUAGGCGGUUUGUCGCGUCUGCUGUGAAAACCCGAGGCUCAACCUCGGGCCUGCAGUGGGUACGGGCAGACUAGAGUGCGGUAGGGGAGAUUGGAAUUCCUGGUGUAGCGGUGGAAUGCGCAGAUAUCAGGAAGAACACCCGUGGCGAAAGCGGCUCUCUGGAACGGUACUGACGCUGAGACGCGAAAGCGUGGGGAGCGAACGGG
Molecule: ribosomal RNA, 253 nt
Filed under: uncultured bacterium
Lineage: Bacteria
Description: partial 16S ribosomal RNA
Rfam family: Bacterial small subunit ribosomal RNA
Source: RNAcentral